Molecule: ribosomal RNA, 467 nt
Filed under: uncultured Hymenogaster
Lineage: Eukaryota; Fungi; Basidiomycota; Agaricomycetes; Agaricales; Hymenogastraceae
Description: eukaryotic LSU rRNA
Rfam family: 5.8S ribosomal RNA (bases 173-326)
Source: RNAcentral
CCACCUGUGCACAUCUUGUAACUUGGAUUACACUUUCCGGGGCAACUCGUCCGGAAGAAAUGCUGCUCUCUGUGGGUCAGCUUUCUUGCAAUUCCAAGCCUAUGGUUUUUUAAAAAACCCCUAAGUAGUAACAAAAAGGAUAAUUGGGCCUCAGUGCCUAUAAACCUUAUACAACUUUCAGCCAACGAACCUCUUGGCUCUCGCAUCAUGAAGAACGCAGCGAAAUGCGAUAAGUAAUGUGAAUUGCAGAAUUCAGUGAAUCAUCGAAUCUUUGAACGCACCUUGCGCUCCUUGGUAUUCCGAGGAGCAUGCCCGGUUGAGUGUCAUAUAAUUCUCAACCUUAUUAGCUUUUGCUGAUAAUGGCUUGGAUGGUGGGGGUUCUCUUUUGCUGGCUUCUUCAGAAGUCAGCUCCCCUUAAAUGCAUUAGCUGGUGCCCCGCGUGGACUGUCUAUUUGGUGUGAUAAUUA